GCGUCUCAGAGGUCAAACACAGUAAGUCAUAUUAAGCUGUGUUAGGCCUCCGAGUCUG
RNAcentral lists this non-coding RNA (58 nucleotides) under Salmo salar (Atlantic salmon). Lineage: Eukaryota; Metazoa; Chordata; Actinopteri; Salmoniformes; Salmonidae. The record is from RNAcentral. RNAcentral also lists the same sequence under 2 other names.